CUGAAAUCGUCUGUUGGAGCAGUGUGAUGUUCCGAAUGUCUCAGUAGAGUACUUUAUAAAUAUUUGUUACUACUCUCAGGUAGCAGUGAGCUGAAGUCAUCUCUAUCAGUGGGGGUAACGAUUUAAAAUGCCAUUUAUGCAACAGCUUUACUGCUAAGAGUUAUUUUGCUUUUUUGUUAGGUUUACUUGUGUUUAUGGAACAAAUUUGAGUAGUACCAAGCAGUUUGGAGAAUUUGGAACUAGAACUCCAAAGAAAAGAUGCUCAAGGAUGUGUGCAAAUUCAAACCUAAGACUGGAAAGGAAUGAAGAUGUCACAGGGGUUCUGCUUUAAGGAAUCCGAAGCUCUGGUGUCAGCAGAAUUGAUGAGCUCUGCCCCUGGGGAACACCAACACAACUUCAUUGAAAGAGUUACAGGGAUUUCAUGUUUCGGAGGAAUUAUAUACAGAGGUUUCUGUUUGAAGGUAUAUUCAAAUACUACUUCAAACUGAGGUUUAAGGUUGAAUAUUUCAAAAUUAGGAAGACGUCAUUGAAACCCAGCAACAGUUGGCGAUUCAGCAAUUAUUAAGUCUUCAGAGAAACAUAGCUCUUCUGUAACAUGGUUAUUGAAGUAGUGUGGCUCCACUUCAAUAAGCAAAAAAAGAGACAGCAUUCCUCUUUAGAAAACUCAAAGGCAUUACUUAUUUAAUUAAUAGGUAAGGAAAGUCUUGAGCAGAAAAAAAGUAGUCCCUGAGAUGUAUUCAAUUAGCCUUUUGUGCCUAUUCUUUUGCUAACUUUUACAAGGCAUCUAAUCAUAUAUUUAAGUACAUGUGUGUGCUUUAUUUUUUCUUUCUUUAUCUUAAUGGAACUACACCUUCAUAGUAAACUUUUUAUUAUUUGAAAUACUUACAUGUGUUAAAAUGAAGUUAUCACUUCUUAUUGUGGACUAUAAUUAGUCAAAGAGGAAUAAUGUAAAAUGUCACAUAGGACUGAGUCAAUUUUGAAAAUGGGCUUUUCAAGAUAGAUUCUGAAACUCCCUGUGCUGGUCAAGGUCAGCGUAGGGGAAAACCAUAAUUAUAGAUUUCUCAGACCUAGCAAUUCAAAAAAUAUAGAGAGUAGCUAAGGUUCUAAUUGUAAUUGGAUAGGGUGAUUUCUCUUCAUACAGUGAUACUUAAUUCGUACAUCAUUCUGCAUGUGGGAUUAGCUAAACUUCCAGUCUAAUAGUCAUUCUAAAGCCAGAGAGGAAAUGGAGCAAAGCAAAAUACAGUUCUUCAGGGAUUUCUAGUCUAAUAAUGUCAUUAUGAUAGCACGCAGAGUAUGACUGCAUCUUUAAAAUCUUCUAAAGCAAGGGACGCACACCACUGCUGGAAUGCACAAUGGUUUGGAGUGGUGCAAGGUGAGAUAUUUCCUUUUUAUUAUUUGUUUUUAAUAUGUGUUAGAUAUAACCCAGGAUUUCACCUAUAUUAUUGCCGAACAUGAAGCUAAAGUAAAAAAAAAUGAAUAAAAAAACUAUUAAGCAAAUAACAGCACAGCUAUUUUAUGAAUGUUGUAGAACUCGUGAAGGUAGUAUGCAAAUGACUGAAAUUGGGAACAAUAAAGUUGUGUUCAUUCAUCCAACAAAUAUUUAUUGAAUACUGUGUUUCCUCCACACAUAUGGAAUAGGAAGAUAUCAAAAUAUAAGAUAGUCAAGGUCUUAGCCCUUGUGGAUCCCACAUUUUGGGUCAUACCGCUAGUGGUUCCAC
RNAcentral lists this long non-coding RNA (1718 nucleotides) under Homo sapiens (human). RNAcentral describes it as "HSALNT0328629". The record is from RNAcentral. Lineage: Eukaryota; Metazoa; Chordata; Mammalia; Primates; Hominidae.